AGCUUUGUGCAGCGGCAAUAUCGUAGACAAAGAGGUUUAUCUGAGGCACAAUUAUUGCUAUUUGAAACAAUUGAGUAAAGUGUACUGC
Molecule: small nuclear RNA, 88 nt
Organism: Aotus nancymaae (Ma's night monkey)
Lineage: Eukaryota; Metazoa; Chordata; Mammalia; Primates; Aotidae
Gene: U4
Rfam family: U4 spliceosomal RNA
About the family: U4 small nuclear RNA (U4 snRNA) is a component of the major U2-dependent spliceosome. The structure of U4 snRNA from yeast and human has been reported.
Source: Ensembl